This is an RNA transcript of Rosa chinensis, 1353 nucleotides long. RefSeq lists it as uncharacterized. Lineage: Eukaryota; Viridiplantae; Streptophyta; Magnoliopsida; Rosales; Rosaceae. The transcript is spliced from 7 exons. The record is from RefSeq and is a predicted model, not a curated record.
CUUCAAUAAAAGAUGUUUAUGGUUGUGUGAAGUCAAUCAUGCCAGAGUCCCAGGUCUUUGUGAGGAACAAAGAAAAAAUGGAAUCAAAGUGUGAAAUAACCUUGGAAAAUCUCAGGAGAGAGGAUGUUAGAAUCACUCUGUGGGGCGAUAAUGCCAGACAAUUUGAUGUACAAGCUGUACAAAAUCGUUCUCCACCGAUCUUAGCAGUAUUUACAAGCUUGCGGAUUACUGAAUUCCAACAACGAAUCACAUUGUCUGGAACGAAUAAUACCUGCAUGAUUGUAGACCCGCAAAUUCCUUAAAGACAAGAAUACAGAAAUGAAUUCUCCAAGCCAGGUGACAAAGUAAAGAUUCUUGCUAUCCCAUUUAAACAGGCAACUCAAGAAGAGCUCAAAGAUCGACAAAAAAAAACAGUAUCAGAAUUGAACAUGCUUAAUCCACGCCUGUACAACAGCAAGCCAGUUUGCUGCAGUGCUAAAAUCGCUAGAUUCUCGACACACAAUAGCUGGUGGUAUAACGGUUGUCCAAUCUGCUGCAAGCAGCUUCGACAGAAACAAAAUUCUAAUGAAAUGAGUUGUAUUAAACAUGAAACACAACAGCCUUUGCCAUGUUACAGAGUAUACGUAACAAUCGAAGACCGGGAAAAUGAAGCCAUACUGAUUGUAAUGGGAGAAGCAGCUGAACAACUCUUUGGCAAUACCUGUCCAGAAUUACUAAACAAACAACAAGAACCUACAAGACAAGCAUUGCCAAAGGAGAUUGAAAAUACAAUAGGCCAACAAUACCUCUUCGAGAUUCAACCAAAAUCUCAUGGUGAACUGAUUGUGAAAUCUGUUUCUCCAGAUCCACAAAGUUUUGUAGCAGUAUCAGAACAACAUCCAACAACCGCAACACCAGAUCGUCCUAGCACAGAAAGAAAAAGAACAGUGGAAACAAGUAAGAAAGCACUCUUCACCACUGAACAAGAGAAAAAAAGCAAAAGGCAAUCCCGGCAUCAAGGAACUACAUCAUCAUCCCUUCAAAGCGAGCAACAUGAAACACAAACAAGUCGCUGAACAAGAAUCCGAUCUCUCUGUGUUUGUAACAUAUAUUAUAUUAACUUAUUUCUUUUAGUUACAGCUGUGCUGACUACUUUUGCUUUUGUAUAAUUGUAGUCAGCGAAUCAACUGAAAAGCAGCUAGAACAAUUAUUUUUUUGGGUAAAUUCUGCUGCAUUUUUUAUCACUGAAUUUCAGUUGAUUCUACAGCCAAGCAGUGGGAGCAAUUAAUUUUUUGAAGUACUACUCAAGUAAGUUUUGCUCCACUGAAUGUACUGUAACAAAAAUGUAAAAAGGCAAAACAUUGUACUCUCUCA